AGCACACGCUAGGGGUCCUGCGGGCGCGUUUGCGCUGCGUGGGUGAGAAAUACCCUCUGAACCUGAUCUGGAUAAUGCCAGCGAAGGGAAGCUUCCGAGAUGCCGG
Molecule: non-coding RNA, 106 nt
Filed under: Massilia sp. 9I
Lineage: Bacteria; Pseudomonadati; Pseudomonadota; Betaproteobacteria; Burkholderiales; Oxalobacteraceae
Description: TPP
Rfam family: TPP riboswitch aptamer (THI element)
About the family: Vitamin B(1) in its active form thiamin pyrophosphate (TPP) is an essential coenzyme that is synthesised by coupling of pyrimidine and thiazole moieties in bacteria. The previously detected thiamin-regulatory element, thi box was extended, resulting in a new, highly conserved RNA secondary structure, the THI element, which is widely distributed in eubacteria and also occurs in some archaea.
Source: RNAcentral